Long non-coding RNA from Sycon ciliatum, 1035 nucleotides. RefSeq lists it as uncharacterized. Lineage: Eukaryota; Metazoa; Porifera; Calcarea; Leucosolenida; Sycettidae. The record is from RefSeq and is a predicted model, not a curated record. The transcript has 2 exons.
ACGAAAAAAUGAAACUUUGAUAGCCUGUAGAGUUUCGGGCGCUGAGUCGAAUGGUCUUGGUCCGAAGUCUCUACGACGAAGCGUUCUUGAGAUAUUUCACUUUGAAAUUGCAAAAACGGGGGCCGCGCCCUGACGUCAUGCGGCCAUUUGGUUACAUCAUCACGGGCUGCCUACGUCAUUGUGGCAAAGUCGUUUCUCUUCGCCAGUCUACAAGCACUAAUUUUAGUUGGUAUUUCAAGGGAAGAUGGGCGAUUCCGAACAAUCCUCUGUCCCCAGCAAUGAAGGCAGCGAUGCUGAGGCCAGUGAGGACGACCAACAGCCCACCGCCGCGUAUGGUUGGGGCAGGGAGCCCAGAUACUCUGCUGAGGAGCUGCCAUCGCGUGUAACAAAUGUGGAGGAAGAAGAUGCGUCAGCAGCUGCGUCCGACAGAAGACGAGUAGCUUGGCCACCAGAAUCUCGAUUCGUUUGGGACUCCGACUGGUGCGAGCGUGGACAAAAGUGUAUAGCCAUGCCCAGCCCGCGGGAAUGAUUUUGCUGGUAGGAUGCUGCCGUCGCUGUCGACAAGACGGCCCAAGGUUUCUUGCGUAGCGGACCUCGCAGAUUACGAGAUCGUAUCCUUGCAUUAGGCUGUGCUCAUCACUGCUCUUCGAGGUUAUCUCGACAUGCAGAAGCCGCCAAUGCCAGUGACAGAAGAGUCUGACAUUAGAUCUCUACGCUAUGCGGCACACAGGCAGUACACACUAUGUACACAGCAAAUUGGGCAAGCACGUUCGUUGUCGUCUUCCAGCCUGCGUUGUGAAUACCAUCAGGCAAAGAUAUCCAAAUCCUGCACCACCUCAGCCUUCUCAGGAGGCUUCCACCUGGAAUUUGGCAGGGAAACACGCUUCUCCAAGGCAGGAACAUGGAGGUUGCCAUUUGCAACCGCUACCACCUCACACAUGAGCUUGUCAACAUACUCAUAGCUCUUUCUGUCGUAUAAUUUUCUAUUUGGCCACAGUCUUCUUUAUGCUUUGAGAACUGGACUUUAUACCUUCC